UGCCCUUAAGGCGUUCAAGUCCUAGGCAGGAGGAAAUAGCCAAGGCCUCCCAGCUGUUGAUAAGUGUGCUGGGAUAUGUUACAAGAGUGAGGGUAACAUGGCAGGGAAGGACUUAGCCAUGUUACAGCAGGGCUCAGGCUCAGGGUUUUAAUGGUGCUGUUUUGACGUGAACAGAAUGUACUAUUGUUAUGGCACCAAGGAUCAAUGUUUACACAGUCCAUUAAUUCCUAACCUGAUUUGUUGCAGGACGAGAACAACAACAACAACAACAACAACAACAACAACAAGAGGAGGAGGGGGAGGAGGGUGGUACACAGGAGUGACUGGACUUGUCAAGCCAGUCAGUGAACCCAGUCUGCAAGACUUCUUGGUCAAGAUGGGACACAACCUAACACGGAAACCCUUCAAGCUGGAGAACCAAGACUGGGUGGGUGUUUGGUGACCCAGGGCGUUGAGGGAAGCCAGACGCUCUCCUAUAGGGCUUCAGGCAGAUACAACUCCCUCAUCACCUGCUUCACUCCAGCCCAGACUUUGCCACUCACACCCAACAGCUUCAUCUUAAGGCAGAAGAAGAAGAAGAAGAAGAAGAAGAAGAAGAAGAAGAAAACACACAGAGAGAGAAGAGGAGGAAGAAGAAGAGGAAGGACUUGUAAUAUGGCAGACAUCAAACCAAUGAAUCGAGUGGCUGAAUUGACUCCAUUUCUCGAGGGGUGGCUUCGUAUCCCAGCGUGAUCUCCUGCAAGGCAUCCCAGCACACACCACAUGCUCUGGAGGGGGAGAGAACGUCAAGAUGAGUCAAUAUGAAUCGGCCUCGUCUUGGAGGAAAUGUACCAUUUUGAUUUUGCUCUCAAUAAAUGUGGACCCUAA
Long non-coding RNA from Eriocheir sinensis (Chinese mitten crab), 867 nucleotides. RefSeq lists it as uncharacterized. Lineage: Eukaryota; Metazoa; Arthropoda; Malacostraca; Decapoda; Varunidae. The transcript is spliced from 5 exons. The record is from RefSeq and is a predicted model, not a curated record.